ACAGCAACGAUCACGAUGAACUUUAAAUUAACUGGCAUCCCACGGAUUGCAGCGAAGAAACUGCUACAAGAGGUAAUUAAACUAUCAUGAUUAUUUACUAAAGUAGAAAUUGUCCAAAGCAAUUUUUAUACCAUACUUUUGUUUUUUUUUAAAUACGAUAUGACUGCAUCAGCUGAUCAGCCAAAUCAACAUGUACUUAUUAUACACCCCCAUGUACUUAUUAUACGCCCUGAUGCAAACCGGUUUGGACUCUACUCUGCCCCGGACAGAGACAUCUGACAUGCGUUCGUCAUGGAUGGUGGUUAGCAUGUUUACAUCCUUCCUGUCCCUAAAUUUUAGUACAAGCACAUCAGCUUUGCGAAGUGCUUUACAUUCGCCUUUUUUUUAAUUUUGCCUCUAUGAGAGAUUGUGGAAAGUCUUUUUGGCCUUUACUCGCAGAGUAAGCGCGUGGGGGGGGGGGGGGGGCAUGGAUCAGUUUUCGCACCGGGGCAACCAUGGGUUGUGUGUACGCCACUGGCGUGUUUACUUGGAUUAUCCUUAGUUUAUACCUGAAUUUCAAUUCCAGCUGAAUUUCAGAGCUAUUCCUUGAACUGUGCGAUUCUGAGAUUAAUUUGAAUCAUGGAAACAUAUUUCACAAACUCAUUAACCUCUUCAGGACCAUCAGCGGUAAAACGUGCGUUUGGACCGCUGACGGUCCUGAACUGUCAUAGCAAAAAAUGGGCUGCGGGAAGCGAUCAAAGAUCGCUCCCGCCGCUAUAACACUGUAACUAUCUCCCAGACCUCCCAGGCAGAUAGUAACAGCCAAUUGUGGCGUGUGAGCCAUCCGCGAUCGCUCACAAUUGGCUGCUGUCAAAGUGGGUGUUACAAACACUCACUUUGACAGUGAUCUCUGCCCCUCUCUCCUCUGUAGCGUUUUGUGAGGCGAGAGAGACAGAGAUGGUGAUAGUUUGUUGCAGCAGAAGUGUUCCAGAGCUUUAUACAGUAUCUAAAGUGAAUAAAAAAAAUCCCUUUUAACCCCUUCCCUGCCAGAUCUGUUACAGCAGUGCAUUUGUACUGUCUGUAUUUAAUUUUUUGCCCUUAAAGGGUUUAAUUUGUUUUAAAAAUCUGUGUCUUGGUCUGUCUUAGUCAGUUUCCUUCCCCCAAAUCUCCAUUAGAUUUUUGUGACAGGAGUUAGUUUAGGGAUUGCUGUGUAGUCUGUUUAAGAAAAAAAGUAUUAAAAAAAAGUGUGUGUUUGAAAUUUGUUUUAGUCGUGUUUAAAACAUGCAGCGUAUGUAUAACUUGCAGGAGGCAUAUGCCUUCUUGGCGUCAGACUCUGACGCCACUGACACUGCGUCAGAUUUUGACCCAGGUCAGUUUUCUGACAUGUCUAGUCAAGACGACAUGCCAUCUGUGUGUGAGCCGGCUGAAGAAAGAAGCUGUGCUUCCUCUGCUACGCCGAAUGUGGAGGAGGACUGGGUACCUCCACAGUUAGCCGAGCCCAACGUCCCCCCUUUUAGUGCCAACGCAGGCAUUAAUGUUAGUGUGGAUGGCUUCUCCCCAAUGCAGUAUGUAAAACUAUUUUUAGGGGAUACCAUCUAGGAGGAGAUUGCUUCCCAGACUAACUUUACCAAUUUAUUGAUAACAAUCCAGGUAGUUAUACAGUCAGGGAUCAUGACUGGCAUCCCACAGAUGUCCCAGAGCUUAAAAAAUUCUGGGCUCUUACAAUGCUCAUGGGGAUUAUAAAGAAGCCAUCGAUUCGCUCAUACUGGAGCACCAACACAAUAAUGUCUAGUCCAGUAUUCUCCCAAACCACGCCUAAAGCCACAUACUAGUUACUGCUGAGAUUUUUACAUUUCAGUGACAAUACCCUCUGUCACACUAGAGAUCACCCCCAAUACGAUAGGCUUCAUAAAAUACGCCCACUGCUAGACCAUUUUCAGGACAAAUUUUCGGAUGUUUAUACUCCCCAACAAAAUGAAUCCAUUGCUGAAUCGCUAAUGAAAUACAAAGGGAGAUUAUAGUUCAGACAAUACAUCCCCUCAAAGCGCUCUAGGUAUGGCAUAAAACUGUACAAACUCUGCGAGAGCGAAAGUGGAUACACAUUUGCUUUUCGUGUAUAUGAGGGGAAAGAUCUUCAACUGGACCCUCCUGGCUGUCCUGACUCCCUGGGGACAAGUGGGAAACUUGUAUGGGACCUACUAAACCCCUUGUUUAAUAAAGGUUACCACCUUUAUGUGGAUAAUUUUUAUAGUAGUGUCUGUCUGUUUAAAACACUUUAUGGUUUAUAGACACUGGCCUGCGGCACUGACAGAAAAAAUUCUAAAGACUUUCCACGAUCUCUCAUAGAGGCAAAAUAAAAAAAAAAAAGGCGGGGAAGAGUAGAGUCCAAACCGGUUUGCAUCAGGGCGUAUAAUAAGUACAUGGGGGUGUAUAAUAAGUACAUGUUGAUUUGGCUGAUCAGCUGAUGCAGUCAUAUCUUAUUUUAUGAAAAAACAAAUCAUGGUAUAAAAAGGUGGCUAUCUGUCUGAUGCAAAUAGCAACCCACAACUAAUUUUUGCUUUUUUUUUUUUUUUAAAUAAUCCAGGGAAAACCACCUUUCUCCAAUUUAAGUUGAAAAUAAUUUAUUUAACAAUUUAUGGAGAUGGACAAGUUCCAACAACGGUCUAACAAGUUUUCUGGCAGUAACACAUAACCAGCUGGCCAAAACCAGAUGACGUGUGCAUAAAAACCAGAAUUAAAAAAUUACCACUACACUUUCUUUGGGGGGCAAAAUGGUUGGGGGAAAGAAGUCAAAACACCCCAUCUUCUAUAACCGUUGAUGUCUACUUUAUAAAAAUAUAUACUAUUAACUGAGGGGUGCAAAAAUAUGUCAAACUGAAGAUAGACCAAGCAUACCUAUAUAUCAAGUUGAAAAACUGACAUUUACAAGUUCUGAUUGUUGCUUUUUGGCCCCCAAACAACCCAGCAACCCUAUACUUGGGGUGUGUCACUGUACUCGGGAGAUGUUGCUGAACAUAUUGCGGUGUUGUUUGGCAGUGACACAUAACAGGAUCUGUUAAUUCAUGCCUAAAGUACAAUGUGUGUGACAAAGAAACAAAAAAAGAUUACUACCCAAAAGUUUGACAAAGGCUGGUGGUAGAAUAUAUGGCUUGAUGGGGGUAAAAUACAUUGGCUCAAAUGGGACAUGGGCGCAGGUUGAUUACAUGUCAAAAUUCCAAGUUGGGAAACUGAUAAGCGCACCUGCCAAAUGUGGCCUUUUAGCCCCCAAAGAACCCGACAGGCCUAUGCAUGGGUGGUAUCACUGUACUCAGGAGAUCUUGCUGAACACAUAUUGGGGCUGUUGUUCGGCAGUGACACAUAACAGGAUCUGUUAAUUCAUGCCUAAAGUACAAUGUGUGUGAAAAAAACUGAAAAAAAUGUACUAACUCAAUGUUUGACAAAGCCUGGUGGUAGAAUUAGUGCAUGGAAAGUGUUAAAAUACCACCAUGUGCAAUACCCUAGGGUGUCUUCUUUUCAAAAAUAUAUAGUUUGAUGAGGGUAAAAUACAUUGGCCGGCUUCAAAAAUGUCCCAAAUAGGACAUGCAUGCAGGUUGACUACAUGUCGAAAUUCCAAGUGGGGAAACUGAUAUGCUCACCUGCAAGAUGUGGCCUUUUAGCCCCCCAACAACCCAACACACCUAUACAUGGGGGGUAUCCCUGUACUCGGGAGAUGUUGCUGAACACAUAUUGGGGUGUUGUUUGGCAGUGACACCUAACAGAAUCUCUGAAUUUCUACCUGAAUUGCAAUGUAUGUGAAAAAAUUAAACUACCUAUGCAAAGUUUGGCAAAGGUUUGUGGUGAAAUGGCUGCAUAGAAAGUAUCAAAUGAAUGAAUACCCUGGGUUAUCUAGUUUAAGAAAAUAUAUACAUGUGGGGUGUUUUUUGGAGAUUUAUGACAUAACAGUGUUACAAUGUCACUAUUGAUACAUUUGAAAAAUUUACAUUUUGAAACAGCAAUUUUCUACUUGUACUUAUAGCCCUAUAACUUGCAAAUAAAAGCAAAAAAAACCACAUAAACACUGGGUGUUUUUAAACUCAGGACAACAUUUUGAAUCUAUUUAGCAGUUUGUUUCAUUCGAUUUUGUAGAUCAGUAAAAGAUUUUUUAAGUAAAAGUAAAACGUGUUUUUUUAAAUUUUUCACCAUAUUUUAUUAUUUUUUUAAAUUAAAUUAUAUGACAUGAUAAAAAUAAUAGUAUGUAAAGAAAGCCCUUUUUGUCCUGAAAAAAAAAAAUAUAAUUUGUAUCGGAACAGUUAAUGAGAGAGCGGAAAAUUACAGCUAAACACAAAUACCACAAAAGUGUUAAAAUAGCUUUGGUCCUUAACGUACAAACAUCACAAAACCAGUCCGGUCCUGAAGGGGUUAUUAUACUGUUCAGUCCACAAUGUUUACAGAGAAUGUACUGUUUGUGCAAUGCUGCCAUCAUGUGGCCAUUUUUAUUAUUACAUGGUUUAACUUCACACAUACAAGAAUUUUUAUUUAUUUAUAAAAUUGUUACCAUGAACAUACUUGAAUCCAGGACAUACUUGAAAAAGAAAGAAAUCUCAAUGUAUCUUUUGUGGUAAAAUAUUUUAUAAAUAAUAAGCAGCUAUUUAGGAGUUAAAUCCCUUUGUGUAGGCAGCCCUAGCCACACCUCCUUGCAUGUGACUUACACAGCAUUUCUAAAUACUUCCUGUAAAGAGUCAUCUAAUGUUUACACUUCCUUUAUUACACAGUCUGUUUAAUUUAUAAUUCCUUAUCUCCUGCUCUGUUAAAAGCUUGCUAUGCCUUGCAGGAGCCUCCUGUAUGAGAUUGAAGUUCAAUUUACAGAGCGAGAGAUAAGGCUGCAUACACAGAAACAAAUGUGAUCUAACUCAUAAAUGGCAGAUAAUUCAGUGAUGAGCCUGCAGGGGCAUGAUCUAUACACCACAACUACUACUUUAAUCUAAAGUUGAUUUGGUUACUAUAGUGUUCCUUUAAAAUAGAGUCUGUUCUGCAGGAUAAACAAAUACACAUCUGAUUAUUCUACAGUUACUUUGCCAAUUCCAUCAAAAAUUAUUUCAGGUAUCUAUUACCCUUUAAAUAUCACUUUUAACAGUUAUUGCUUCCACUGGAAGGCUAUUCCAGGCAUUUACUACAUUUUCUAUAUAACACUUAGGCUUUAUUGCUUCCACAGGAUGGCUAUUCAAGGUAUCUACUACCCUUUCUAGAUAAUUGUUAGCCUCUAUUCCUUCUUCUGAAAGGCUAUUCCAGGUAUCUACUACCAUUUCUGUAUCACUGUUACUGCUUCCACUCGAAGGCUAUUCCAGGUAUCUACUACCAUUUCUAGAUCACUGUUACUGCUCCCACUGGAAGGCUAUUCCAGGUAUCUACUACCCUUUCUAUAUCACUGUUACUGCUCCCACUGGAAGGCUAUUCCAGGUAUCUACUACCCUUUCUAUAUCACUGUUACUGCUCCCACUGGAAGGCUAUUCCAGGUAUCUACUACCCUUUCUAUAUCACUGUUACUGCUCCCAUUGGAAGGCUAUUCCAGGUAUCUACUACCCUUUCUAUAUCACUGUUAACUUUCCAAUGGAAGCAGAAAAGGCUACUCUUUUUUUAUAUCACUGUUAGCCAUUACUGCUCCCACUGGAAGGCUAAUCCAUGUAUCUACUACCCUUUCUAUAUCACUGUUACUGUUUCCACUGGAAGGCUAAUCCAUGUAUCUACUACCCUUUCUAUAUCACUGCUAGCCUUUAUCUCCACUGUAUAACUGAGUAUAUAUUACUCUUUCAGUAAAUUAAGAGCGUCGUUAAUGGUAGCAGACCAGGUAUUUUUUUCCUUUACAUGUUUUACCAAAUGUUCGAAAACCCGAAAAACUAAUUUAAGAUUCUUGCAACAGUUUGCUUUAAAAAAAGAAAAGACAAUUCUAAACCUUUGAAUAUCAAAAGAAAGAACAACCCAUUGAGUGUAGAAUGUGUCACCUCUCUGUCACCUAACACGAAAGGUAAACUAUGAUUAAAAAAUUAUACGGGUUCUGAGAUUCCCAAUCCAGCAAAGACGAGCUAAGAAUGAUCUUCUUUGUUUCCCCAUCCGUAUGUGGAGACGGAUUGCCAAACCAAUAGGUUUUCCUAGAAUAGCAAUAUUGAAGUGCACCAGGUGAUAGCCUACUCCCCAACAUCGCGUCCCAGGAAGCAGGACGCCGGUAAGAGGAGGGUGAAGGGGGCGGAUAACACAUUAAUUAUGUGUUUAUGCUGCAUCUUUUGGACUCAGGUCUCAGGUGUCUGCGAAAGUGAAAAAUCAGGGAACAAAGUUGGGACAGAACCCGUAAAUAAGGACUGUCCUGCAAAAAUCGGGAAGGUUGGGAGGCCCUGAACCACUGUUCCAUACACACUGCCGGGGUGAGGCCAUUGGACUGAAUGAUCAGUCACUGCCACAGGACUCAGUGCAGUUUGUGGUGACAAAACAAACCGCUGUGGUUAGAAACACUGUAAACAUUUGAUAAGAAGGAUUAACAGCAUGGCUUGGAUGUGAAAUCUGACACAGUUAUGAUUGUGUAGCGAUUUUCAAGUAAAAAACUCACAGACAGCGAGUUAGAAAAAAUGACAAAACAAACAAAUGAAAUCCUUUAAGUAAACCAAUGUAACACAUAGAAUAGGUUCACUUUAUGGUAAGACCUCAACCAAAUACAUUCAGAUUCCUUUCUUUCAAUCCCACCACUGUAAACAGUGGUGGGGGGCAGAUGAUUAAAUAUAAUCAGUAGCGUUGGGUACAAAGUACUUUCCUUUGCAUUUGCCUUCAUGAAAUCGUAUUAUUUCUCUAGUAGUGGGUGAAAAAAUAUAGUAAUUCCCCCCCCCCCCUUAUAUAAUGAAAGGAAGAAUUAAGGGUGUCUAGUUAAAUUUUAAACUGUGCCAACUACUGGGGUACUACCUGCACUCAAAGAGUGUGUGAAUCUCAGGUUAUUAAGAAAGAGUGCGACCAGCAUGGGAUGUCAGCAGCCAAUCAGAAGUUGUUAUUUACUGAUUAGUACUCAGUAUUCCACUGUACAGGAAAGAGGAAACGUAUAGAAACAUAGAAUGUGACGGCAGAUAAGAACCAUUCAGCCCACCUAGUCUGCCCAAGGCUCUUAAAGCAGCUCUGUCACCAAACAUAGCUCUCUGCAGUCAUUUUCUCUUCUCUUUCUCUCUCCUGAUCUGUUUUUCUUUUUUUAAUUUUUCAUCUUUUUCUCGUGAAAUAAAUAAGACAUAAGUAGUCUACCUUGUCUCGUGUAUUUUUCCUACACUUGACACUUGUCAUGUACCAUUUUCCCAUAAUCCUCACCUGCCUGUGGCAUCCAUCCUCUAGAAUCUGCCAAUCUAACUCUCCUUCCCGAGCCUCACGCAUGCCCAGUACAAUCGCCUUAGCUUUUGGCUUCCUGGGCGUGUGUUUCCAUAACAACAUGUGCUCGAUCAGAAAGGGGAGAGAAAGGAAUGGUAGUAGAAGUUGGUGACAACAUGUCACUGCCAGGCUUCUGAAGAUGGCACUGGAUAGAAACAAAAUUUGGUGCUAAGAACAAAGAGCUAGUUAGAGGUAAAAGUAGGAGACCUGCACCAAAAACAUUUAUUGUGAAGGGGAAGAAGACAAAUCGGGGAGGGAGGUCUGGGGUGGAACAUUAGUAAAAAAAAAAGUGGUUCUCUUUGACAGAGCCGCUUUAAUGAUUCUUAAUAACAUGCAAAAUUAAACUAGAAUUGUUCUAUAGUUUUCAUAGAACACAUGGAACCGGUUAAGGUUUAGGAGUGUUCUAAGAUGGGCCAUUGAUACUUUGUGCUAUAAUUAUUUUCUUUGUUUUCCUCAGGUGUGCUCACUGCUAACCUAUGCUCCAUCCAACAUUUCUGGAGUUGUGAUGACUUUGUUUCAAAAGAAGAAGAUUUCAUUAAACUGUACAAAUUAUUAACCCUUUCAUAACCUUUCACAGAUCCCUUGUCAAAACACUGUCAUUAGAAUGCAAAAUGUCAUAGUGUUCCUGUAACUAAGGUAGAAAAAAAGACUUGACUCACGUUCAGCCUUUGACAAAACUUUGUUUAUAAUGCUGAACCAAAAAAAAAUGUAAUCUGAAGCAAUUUACUGUUUUGCCACAAAUUGGGGAAAAAAUUCCUUUUUGACUUCUCCCAAUCAGAUUGUCCUUGGAUCAAUAUCAACCAAUCAGAUCCAUAGAAAGACAUUUCUGAGCGUCUCUUCAUGCAUCUCUUCGUUUGUAGAGAACAUUCAGGGCAUCUAUUACAUUUUAAUAAAUAGAGAUAUUGAGGAAUUGUUAUAGUCCCGGUGCCUAAUAUACUUACCGAUUAGUGGACUAUCAGAUCAUGAGUGGUUGGGCAUGGUGGGCCAGCUCAGGGGCUUGUUAGCGACACCAAAUGCAUCACUGAGAUGUUUCUUCAUGGUUGUUCCUGCUCCCAUCCCAACUGUGGCCAGCAUUAGGUAGGUCUUUAAUGCCGAAAUUCUUUCACCAGUUGUAUUUGUGAUUUGUACUAUGUGGCAGUGCCAAUUGCAAUAUGAAUUGAAUGUCUAAUUUCAUAAAAUGGGCCCGUCCUCAUUUUUUUCCCAGGACCCAAUUCUGGGACUGCCCUAAUACAAGCUGAAUUGAUGGCAUCUGAUGUUAUGUUGAGUAUAUGAAGAAACCUUGUAGUUUUAUUCAGGAAUGACGCAUUGAAAGUGCCAUUAAUACUCUGAGGUAUCUCUUCUAUAAAUGUUCACUUGCUGGAAGACGCUUUUAGGGUUAUUUACAAAAAUGAGAAAAUGAAGUGAAUUCAAGGUGAACUUCAAAUUUAAAUAAACACUAUAGGGUCAGGAGCACAAACAAUGAUUCCUCACCGUAUACUGUUAAAACUACCAUUUAAAACCCCUGGUGCCCCCUUGCCUCCAUAAAUAUAGUAUACUCUUACCUUUAUUCCAGUCUGCUACUGCUGGCGUUGCCCCUGAUCUGUCUGCUUGGCUGACAUUAUCAGAAGUGAUGAUCUCAGCCUAAUACAAUGCUUCCCCAUAGGACUGAGACUGUCAAUGAGGCAGACCAGGGGCAGAGCUAGCACAAAACAAACACAAGCUCUGGCCAAUCAGCAUCUCCUCAUAGAGAUACACUGAAUCAAUGCAUAUUUAUGAGGAAAGUUCAGUGUCUCCACGCAGAGGUCGGAGACACUGAAUGUCAGCCAUAGUGUGCAGCACUGCCCCAGGAAGCACCUCUAGUAACCAUCUGAGGAAUGGCCAGUGGAGGUAUCCCUUUUAUAUCCUAGCAAAAAUCCUGAUUAUACUAACCAGAACAAAUAUAAUAAGCUGUAGUUUUUGGGUGACUAUAGGUGUCCCUCUAAGGCCAGAGUAGCCAAACUCAUAAACGUAUAGCUGAAUUAAAGAAUUUUUCCAGUUUGACAAUUUUGACCUUGAGUUUGAAAUUCACUUUGGGUUCUCACUUUAGUGAAUAACUUUGUUUAUUUGAUACAGGAAUACACAUACCUUAAUAUGGAUUUAAAAAUGGUUAAAAUGCUCUUCCAACAGUGAAAAUGCAUUAUCCAGUGCAGCAUGGGGAAAGAAAAUUGUAAACCUACCUGUAGGAUUAGUAAAUGGCUUGCUUCUUUGUCCAGCAUGAUUGUGUAACAUGC
Non-coding RNA from Pelobates cultripes (western spadefoot toad), 9599 nucleotides. NCBI's taxonomy places the organism in Eukaryota, Metazoa, Chordata, Amphibia, Anura, Pelobatidae. The record is from the annotation of a GenBank genome assembly.